UACGUAGGGGGCGAGCGUUGUCCGGAGUUACUGGGCGUAAAGGGCAUGCAGGCGGUCGGACGCGUUUCGGGUGACAGCGGGUGGCUUAACUACCCGAGUGGUCGAAAGACGGUUUGACUUGAGGACGCGAGAGGGACACGGAAUUCCGGGUGGAGUGGUGAAAUGCGUAGAGAUCCGGAGGAACACCGAAGGCGAAGGCAGUGUCCUGGCUGGUGACUGACGCUGAGGUGCGAAAGCUAGGGGAGCGAACGGG
RNAcentral lists this ribosomal RNA (253 nucleotides) under uncultured bacterium. Its description in RNAcentral is "partial 16S ribosomal RNA". It matches the Rfam family "Bacterial small subunit ribosomal RNA", at positions 524 to 776 of the family's 1533-position model. The record is from RNAcentral.